GAUGAACGCUGGCGGCGUGCCUAAUACAUGCAAGUCGAGCGAACGGACGAGAAGCUUGCUUCUCUGAUGUUAGCGGCGGACGGGUGAGUAACACGUGGAUAACCUACCUAUAAGACUGGGAUAACUUCGGGAAACCGGAGCUAAUACCGGAUAAUAUUUUGAACCGCAUGGUUCAAAAGUGAAAGACGGUCUUGCUGUCACUUAUAGAUGGAUCCGCGCUGCAUUAGCUAGUUGGUAAGGUAACGGCUUACCAAGGCAACGAUGCAUAGCCGACCUGAGAGGGUGAUCGGCCACACUGGAACUGAGACACGGUCCAGACUCCUACGGGAGGAAGCAGUAGGGAAUCUUCCGCAAUGGGCGAAGGCCUGACGGAGCAGCGCCGCGUGAGUGAUGAAGGUCUUCGGAUCGUAAAACUCUGUUAUUAGGGAAGAACAUAUGUGUAAGUAACUGUGCACAUCUUGACGGUACCUAAUCAGAAAGCCACGGCUAACUACGUG
RNAcentral lists this ribosomal RNA (497 nucleotides) under uncultured bacterium. RNAcentral's name for it is "partial 16S ribosomal RNA". It matches the Rfam family "Bacterial small subunit ribosomal RNA", at positions 28 to 507 of the family's 1533-position model. The record is from RNAcentral.